RNAcentral lists this ribosomal RNA (165 nucleotides) under uncultured bacterium. RNAcentral describes it as "partial 16S ribosomal RNA". It matches the Rfam family "Bacterial small subunit ribosomal RNA", at positions 355 to 511 of the family's 1533-position model. The record is from RNAcentral.
UAGGGAAUCUUCCACAAUGGACGAAAGUACUGAUGGAGCAACGCCGCGUGAGUGAAGAAGGGUUUCGGCUCGUAAAACUCUGUUGUUAAAGAAGAACAUAUCUGAGAGUAACUGUUCAGGUAUUGACGGUAUUUAACCAGAAAGUCACGGCUAACUACGUGCCAG